CCUACGGGAGGCAGCAGUGAGGAAUAUUGGUCAAUGGACGCAAGUCUGAACCAGCCAUGCCGCGUGCAGGAAGACGGCUCUAUGAGUUGUAAACUGCUUUUGUACGAGGGUAAACGCUGAUACGUGUAUCUGUCUGCAAGUAUCGUACGAAUAAGGAUCGGCUAACUCCGUGCCAGCAGCCGCGGGAAUCCGGAGGAUUCAAGCGUUAUCCGGAUUUAUUGGGUUUAAGGGGUGCGUCGGCGGUCGGAUAAGUUAGAGGUGAAAUCCCGAGGCUCAACUUCGGAAUUGCCUCUGAUACUGGUCGGCUAGAGAGUAGUUGCGGUAGGCAGAAUGUAUGGUGUAGCGGUGAAAUGCUUAGAGAUCAUACAGAACACCGAUUGCGAAGGCAGCUUACCAAGCUACGUCUGACGUUGAGGCACGAAAGCGUGGGGAGCAAACAGGAUUAGAUACCCGAGUAGUC
This 460-nucleotide ribosomal RNA is filed under the name uncultured bacterium. RNAcentral's name for it is "partial 16S ribosomal RNA". It matches the Rfam family "Bacterial small subunit ribosomal RNA", at positions 338 to 795 of the family's 1533-position model. The record is from RNAcentral.